AAGGGAAAAUAGGUGGAAAUUCAAAAAUCAAGUGAAAAAAGGUGGUGAGUCAAUUGUUUCGGGUAAGAGACUGCACCCGAGGGCGGAAGAUAGGAGUAUUUCUACUCCUAAUACUGCUCGGGGAAUUCCAUAGUUAGCUGACUUGACAAG
This 150-nucleotide small RNA is filed under the name Theobroma cacao (cacao). Its description in RNAcentral is "sRNA Tc10v2_g011460". The record is from RNAcentral. Lineage: Eukaryota; Viridiplantae; Streptophyta; Magnoliopsida; Malvales; Malvaceae.